Equus asinus (donkey) is the source of this 2361-nucleotide long non-coding RNA. Lineage: Eukaryota; Metazoa; Chordata; Mammalia; Perissodactyla; Equidae. The record is from Ensembl.
GUUUUUUCCCCCUGGAAUCCAUGAGUAUUAAGAAAUAAUUCGAAUGAUCAGAUAAAGACAAGUUCUUGGUAGAGAAUUGAUUUCACAAUCAAUAGUCAAUUUCACAAAAAUACUCCAUUAGAAACAAGAAAAGUGAACUUAAAAAAACCAUGGACUUAGAAAGUGUAUAAAGAGCAAUUCAACUAGUAGAAGAGGUAAAGAUAUGGGAAAUGAUUAAAGAUAGGAUAUGAGUCUAGCAACAGUGCAGGUUAGAUAGCUUGAAUUCUCUCAGUACCAAACAUCUAGUGCUGAGUAAAAGAAAAAAAAUCUUUUAAAAACAUAGCUUACCCUCAAGAUAAUAAGGGAAAUCACAAGUCCUUCAAUAUUGUGACUAUUCAAAAUGUACUAAAUGUUCUAGCUAGCGUAAUCAUAAAAGAAAAACAGAAAAAAGUUAUAAGUAUUGGGAAAGAAGAAACCCUACUUAUAUGCUUAUGGUAUGAUUAUUUAUACAGAAAAAUCCAAAAGACUAUAAAUUAUUAGAACUAAGAAUUUAGGAAGGUUGCUAGAUAUAAGAUCAAUAUACAAAAAAAUCAAUUACAUUCUCACAUACCAACAACAAAGACUUAAAAAAUACUAUUUUAAAAAAGACAAUUUAUAAAUACAACAAAAAAUAGUGUGUAGGGAUAAAUCUAAUAAAAUAUCAGCAAGGUUUUUAUGAAGAAAAUUAUGAAACUUUAUUGAAAUGUCUUAAAGAGGACCUAAAUACAUAGAGAGUUAUACUGUGUUCAUAAAAAUGUAAACUCAAUUCCCUAAAGAUAUAAAUACUCCUAAAAUUAACUAUAAAUGUAAUACAAUUCAAAUUCAACACAACUCAACAGGUGAGAGUAGUGGAAUAGAAUUGAAUUGCUAGUAUCUGAGGUGAAUCUGGAAUUUUUUGGGAAGCCUAGUAAAAAUUCUGAUAGAAAUUUAGAAAAAUUUAAUAGAUAGAAAAAAUUCUGAUAGAAAAAAAUUCCCUGAAAAUUCUGUUAUCCAAAGGAUGAAUUCUCAGAUAUAUAAUGCAAACAGAAAAGCUAUCUUAUUUACCAAGAACUGGAAUAUUUUUGUCAACAUUAGGAAAUUAAGAAUGUGAUUUCUUGGCAAAGGAAUUGCUGUCUCAGUUGCAAGAUGGCAUUUUUCAUUUAUGACUCAGAAGGGAAGUCUGGAACACUUGCCCAGUGCCUCAGAUAUAGACUCUAGGUUUCCAGUUCUAGAGAGGAGAAUGUUUUAGCAAGUGCACCUGCCACACAUGAGAGCAUCCAAAGCAUCCAGAGGGAUCUGAAUGACUAUACCUCACCCAAAGGCCACUCGUUAAACUGUAACAGACAUGCCACCUGUUCCUUCAGAGGCCAAUAAGUGAUCUUUGAACAGGACUGGAGUUAAAAAGUAAACCUAUGCUCCACGUUUUUGCAUCGUUAUAACUAAAAUACUUACAACAACUGACUUGAUAUAAGUGUGCAGUCAAUGUUUGCCUCUAAGAUUGGCUCAGUGCUUACAUUUUUAAAGGAAGAACACGUUUGUCAUGAAAUUUUUUCAAAUAGUCUGAUUGCUUUUGAAGCAGCUCUUAAAACUAUAACACUAUGUAAUCAGCCAAACUUUCUGUACUACAGUUACCUUUCCAACUCUAUAACCAUGAGUUUGUGGUAUUUUCAAGUGAAAGCAGGGUCAGUUCAAAACAACAAGACUAUAGAUGAUCUCUUUAAAAGUUAUAUUAUUACUUCUUCACUAAAAAUUAUGAAUUCUCAAGAAGAGAGCUAAAGAUAAAAUCCUUGGUCAGUAAGUUUUUUGUUUUUCUUAAAUAGGUAUGAAAGUAUCAUUUAGAAUAUGGAAAAAUCUCAGACUAGUGAUGUGACCGGCGUUUCCUUUCAACAUUUUCUUCUGCGCUUCUGGUUCACCCCCUCACCCAGCUUUUCCUCUUAUACAUCCUCUUCAUUGUUAGCAAAAGACUCAAGACGGAUGUGGUAGUUUUGCUCAUGGGCUUUGGAGACCUGUGACUUGUGUUAUGGUUUCAGCUCUGCCUUGUGAGUGUCAGUUCCCGUUUGUAAAGUGGUGAUGAUUAUUGAGGAUCUCUCCCUAGGUGACUGUGAGGAUUGAAGAACGGAGACACAAGUCCUGGAUGUGGAGCAGCCAUCUUUUGACCAUAAGGUAGAAGACCACACAAGUCCUGAUGACUUCUUUGAGCAACUACACUUCUACUGGACCGUACACCUCCUGACCUCGUGUCAUGUGAAGAAAAUCUCAAUCUGGUUAAGCUACUGAGUUGGGUUCAAGCAACUGAAUGCAAUCCCAAUAUAGUAUUAUAUACAUUUCUUGGAGAUUUGAAAUAAAUUUAACAUAUUAAAAAUU